This 253-nucleotide ribosomal RNA is filed under the name uncultured bacterium. RNAcentral's name for it is "partial 16S ribosomal RNA". It matches the Rfam family "Bacterial small subunit ribosomal RNA", at positions 524 to 776 of the family's 1533-position model. The record is from RNAcentral.
UACGUAGGGUGCAAGCGUUAAUCGGAAUUACUGGGCGUAAAGCGUGCGCAGGCGGUUUUGCAAGUCAGAUGUGAAAUCCCCGGGCUUAACCUGGGAACUGCAUUUGUGACUGCAAGGCUAGAGUGUGUCAGAGGGAGGUGGAAUUCCGCGUGUAGCAGUGAAAUGCGUAGAGAUGCGGAGGAACACCGAUGGCGAAGGCAGCCUCCUGGGAUAACACUGACGCUCAUGCACGAAAGCGUGGGGAGCAAACAGG